RNAcentral lists this ribosomal RNA (499 nucleotides) under uncultured bacterium. RNAcentral's name for it is "partial 16S ribosomal RNA". It matches the Rfam family "Bacterial small subunit ribosomal RNA", at positions 28 to 507 of the family's 1533-position model. The record is from RNAcentral.
GACGAACGCUGGCGGCGUGCUUAACACAUGCAAGUCGAACGGGCCCGCCCCUGUUUUUGGGGGUGGGUUGAGUGGCGAACGGGUGAGUAUCACGUGAGUAACCUGCCCCCUGCUCCUGGAUAACUGCUUGAAAGGGCGGCUAAUACGGGGUGUGCCGGCUGGUCCGCAUGGGCCUGGUCGGGAUAGUUUCAUCUUCGGGUGUUUCGGUGGGGGAUGGGCUCGCGGCCUAUCAGCUUGUUGGUGGGGUGAUGGCCCACCAAGGCGGUGACGGGUAGCCGGCCUGAGAGGGUGGGCGGCCAGACUGGGACUGAGACACGGCCCAGACUCCUGCGGGAGGCAGCAGUGGGGGGUAUUGCACAAUGGGCGGAAGCCUGAUGCAGCGACGGCGCGUGAGGGAGGGAGGCCGUCGGGUUGUGAACCUCUUUCUCCGGUGGUGAAGGCCCUGUCCGUUGCGGCGGGGUUGACGGUAGCCGGGUAUGAAGCGCCGGCUAACUACGUG